Long non-coding RNA from Homalodisca vitripennis (glassy-winged sharpshooter), 361 nucleotides. RefSeq lists it as uncharacterized. NCBI's taxonomy places the organism in Eukaryota, Metazoa, Arthropoda, Insecta, Hemiptera, Cicadellidae. The transcript is spliced from 2 exons. The record is from RefSeq and is a predicted model, not a curated record.
CAAGAGGUAAAAAUGACACUCCAAAUUGUAGACAAGUAAAACUCAUCAUCUGAACAUUACAUUGUCCGGCAAGCCUAAAGGAGUUCGGAACACUGACAACAUGAAUAACAGAAACAGAGACUUGGUGAUUUCGUCGGUGGCCCUGUGCGGUGCAGGAUAUUUUGCAUUGGUCCUCAAUGACAUCACAACAGCUGCAUUUAUCCUUUUGGUGUGGAUUGUGUACAUGCUACUGAUACGAGAUCGCUGGUGAAAUUAAUUAUUGAUGGCUUCCGACCUCUAACACCCAAGAAUACUUUAAAUGAUAACCACGUGAUUUUGUCAAUCAGUGUUUCAGAGUAAAAUAAAUAUUUCUUACAAUGUA